GGGCCGCUAGCUCAGUUGGUAGAGCAGUUGACUCUUAAUCAAACGGUCGGGGGUUCGAAUCCCUCGCGGCCCA
RNAcentral lists this transfer RNA (73 nucleotides) under Candidatus Dadabacteria bacterium. RNAcentral describes it as "tRNA-Lys". It matches the Rfam family "tRNA". From Rfam's summary of the family: Transfer RNA (tRNA) molecules are approximately 80 nucleotides in length. Their secondary structure includes four short double-helical elements and three loops (D, anti-codon, and T loops). The record is from RNAcentral. Lineage: Bacteria; Pseudomonadati; Thermodesulfobacteriota; Candidatus Dadabacteria.